AACUAGAAAAAAUUCGAUUGCAAUAGAGAUCUUGAAUAUAUGAUAUGACAAUGUUUAAAUUUUUAGAUUUGAAUAUGCGAAAGAGAAACACGUGGUUUUAUGUUUUCGUCCCCCCCCAGGCGAGGCGAAACAUGUUCUUUUGCGCUGUCACCACCAAUUCGUGUUUUAACAAAAUUGCCUUCUCCCAUAAUGAUUCUAGUUGACGAUUGGAAAAUGUAAUCAGUAUUUGUGAUGACCUUACAUGACCUUGGCAACAUUUGAGUGUACAUAUGUUAGGUGUGUGUUUGUUUUGUUUUGCAAGACCUUCUCCGAAUUGUGAAAGUUCCUCUCAACCAGAUAACAAAAUCUUCUUUUCAUGAGUGUUUAUGACUGAAAAUGUAACAGAUCUAAGAAAUCUAUCCACAAGUAAAAUAACUUUCGAAACUAUUGUUUUUUAAAUUUA
Long non-coding RNA from Musca domestica (house fly), 442 nucleotides. RefSeq lists it as uncharacterized. The record is from RefSeq and is a predicted model, not a curated record. The transcript is spliced from 2 exons. Lineage: Eukaryota; Metazoa; Arthropoda; Insecta; Diptera; Muscidae.